Molecule: ribosomal RNA, 253 nt
Filed under: uncultured bacterium
Lineage: Bacteria
Description: partial 16S ribosomal RNA
Rfam family: Bacterial small subunit ribosomal RNA
Source: RNAcentral
UACGUAGGUGGCAAGCGUUAUCCGGAAUUAUUGGGCGUAAAGCGCGCGUAGGCGGUCUUUUAAGUCUGAUGUGAAAGCCCCCGGCUCAACCGGGGAGGGUCAUUGGAAACUGGGAGACUUGAGUGCAGAAGAGGAGAGUGGAAUUCCAUGUGUAGCGGUGAAAUGCGCAGAGAUAUGGAGGAACACCAGUGGCGAAGGCGGCUCUCUGGUCUGUAACUGACGCUGAUGUGCGAAAGCGUGGGGAUCAAACAGG